AUUGAACGCUGGCGGCAGGCCUAACACAUGCAAGUCGAACGGUAACAGAAAGCAGCUUGCUGCUUUGCUGACGAGUGGCGGACGGGUGAGUAAUGUCUGGGAAACUGCCUGAUGGAGGGGGAUAACUACUGGAAACGGUAGCUAAUACCGCAUAACGUCGCAAGACCAAAGAGGGGGACCUUCGGGCCUCUUGCCAUCGGAUGUGCCCAGAUGGGAUUAGCUAGUAGGUGGGGUAACGGCUCACCUAGGCGACGAUCCCUAGCUGGUCUGAGAGGAUGACCAGCCACACUGGAACUGAGACACGGUCCAGACUCCUACGGGAGGCAGCAGUGGGGAAUAUUGCACAAUGGGCGCAAGCCUGAUGCAGCCAUGCCGCGUGUAUGAAGAAGGCCUUCGGGUUGUAAAGUACUUUCAGCGAGGAGGAAGGUGUUAUGGUUAAUAACCACAGCAAUUGACGUUACUCGCAGAAGAAGCACCGGCUAACUCCGUGCCAGCCGCCGCGGUAA
RNAcentral lists this ribosomal RNA (506 nucleotides) under uncultured bacterium. RNAcentral describes it as "partial 16S ribosomal RNA". It matches the Rfam family "Bacterial small subunit ribosomal RNA", at positions 30 to 523 of the family's 1533-position model. The record is from RNAcentral.